UGGACCCGGCGCCUUGCCCCCAGAUCUGCAUCGGAAUGCAGAAAAGAUCUUUAAAAAAAAAAAAAAAAAAAGUUUUGAAUUCCUCAAUGAUUUUUCUUCUGGAAAGGCAGCUUAGGAUAAUUAUUUCAGCUUUAUUGAGGGCAGAUUAGUUGAAGUCUGGGCGCUGCGUUUCAAUACGCGUUGUACACGGGCCGACAAUGUGG
This 203-nucleotide long non-coding RNA is filed under the name Piliocolobus tephrosceles (Ugandan red Colobus). RNAcentral describes it as "Six3os1 conserved region 7 (ENSPTEG00000033642.1)". It matches the Rfam family "Six3os1 conserved region 7". Lineage: Eukaryota; Metazoa; Chordata; Mammalia; Primates; Cercopithecidae. The record is from RNAcentral.